CCUACGGGAGGCAGCAGUGGGGAAUAUUGCACAAUGGAGGAAACUCUGAUGCAGCAACGCCGCGUGAGUGAUGAAGGUCUUCGGAUCGUAAAACUCUGUCUUAUGGGACGAUAAUGACGGUACCAUAGGAGGAAGCCACGGCUAACUACGUGCCAGCAGCCGCGGUAAU
RNAcentral lists this ribosomal RNA (169 nucleotides) under uncultured bacterium. RNAcentral describes it as "partial 16S ribosomal RNA". It matches the Rfam family "Bacterial small subunit ribosomal RNA", at positions 338 to 524 of the family's 1533-position model. The record is from RNAcentral.